RNAcentral lists this ribosomal RNA (301 nucleotides) under uncultured bacterium. Its description in RNAcentral is "partial 16S ribosomal RNA". It matches the Rfam family "Bacterial small subunit ribosomal RNA", at positions 509 to 807 of the family's 1533-position model. The record is from RNAcentral.
CAGUCGCCGCGGGAAUACGUAGGGUGCAAGCGUUAAUCGGAAUUACUGGGCGUAAAGCGUGCGCAGGCGGUGAUGUAAGACAGUUGUGAAAUCCCCGGGCUCAACCUGGGAACUGCAUCUGUUACUGCAUCGCUGGAGUGCGGCAGAGGGGGAUGGAAUUCCGCGUGUAGCAGUGAAAUGCGUAGAUAUGCGGAGGAACACCGAUGGCGAAGGCAAUCCCCUGGGCCUGCACUGACGCUCAUGCACGAAAGCGUGGGGAGCAAACAGGAUUAGAUACCCCCGUAGUCCCUGUCUCUUAUAC